CCUAAAGGAGUUAUGGCCAAACAAGAAACUGGGCUAAAUUUGCUGGAAUGAAUGGCCUGGUGGGCCAAAUGAAGUCCAUUGAAUAGACAUUUUCUAAAUCAAGGGUUAUCUUGAGCCAUGGUGGCACAAGUGGUUAGAGUGCAGUAAUACAGGUUCCUUCUGCUGACUGCUGGCUGCCUGAAAUUUGGCAGUUCGAAUCCCACCAGGCUCAAGUUUGACUCGACCUUCCAUCCUUCCGAGUUCCCCACUGUCGUGACAAUUAAAGAAAGACGGAUAAAUUGAGAGCCUCUCCAUCUGCAUAUAGCUCUUCAGAAGAAGCUUCAUGGAUGAGAAGAGCUUCUUGGAUGAGAAGCGAAACGUCUUCAAAGAAAAACCACAAAGUCCAGUUGCCUCUUGAGAAAGCACCUUUGGGACAACCAUGACCUGGAUGACUGAGAAUCUCCAUAGACCAGAAAGGAACCGAUAAACAGCAGAUAGGUUUCGCUCUCAAGAUUAUUCUUUAUUGUCUCGGAAGCGAAACAGAAACUUCUAAAGUUUGGACAGUAAACAGAAUCCGUUUUCUGAAUUCACGAUCCCAAAGAAAGGUAUGGAAGACUUACAGAAAAUAGAACUGGGAGCUGGAUAGAAAGAGAAGAUGGUGAAUUUGGAGCUCAUCGGGAGCAUUUCUUAGAAACAACAUAAACCAAGUUGUCUUCCAGCGCAUGCCAGCUAUGGAAGAGACUCGUGACCUAAGAAAAUGGAAUUUUCCUUCAAAACUGGCUGUCUCUGGCUUCAAGCAAUGCUUGAUGAACUUUCCAAAGCCUGCCAAUAUCUUGAUAUCUAUGUUAUUUAUUUUAUCAGAAAGCAAUCUUCUUCCUUAAUCCUUGCUGGCACCAUAAGCACACCAUGACCUGUAUUUUUUAUAUAUCCAUCUACAUUUCAUAUCAGGUCAAAGUCACUUGAAUCCUCCUUCGUCUUCGUCUCUUUGAUCCUUCAUUUCUAUGACUUCGCUUUUACCUGCACCAACACUACCAACGAUUUAA
Molecule: long non-coding RNA, 1022 nt
Organism: Ahaetulla prasina
Lineage: Eukaryota; Metazoa; Chordata; Lepidosauria; Squamata; Colubridae
Exons: 3
Source: RefSeq, a predicted model, not a curated record